Molecule: RNA transcript, 3454 nt
Organism: Solanum pennellii
Lineage: Eukaryota; Viridiplantae; Streptophyta; Magnoliopsida; Solanales; Solanaceae
Gene name: putative late blight resistance protein homolog R1B-12
Exons: 6
Source: RefSeq, a predicted model, not a curated record
UUGUAUUAUUGAGCCACUUUACAGAUACCACCAAAAGCAACUUGCUACUGCAAUUCAUCUCUUGUAAGAAUUAUUAGAGAGAGAGAGGGAGCUCUUCCUUCAAACAUUCAAACCUUCAUCCAUUUCAUUUCAUUAAACUUUUUUUCUAACUUCUCUUAAUACGUGAACUCGGAAAACAUAUCUUUGUUGAAAUCCGAAUCUGAGAACUAUUACUCUCAUUUUUACCCCAUAAUGUUUGUUUCUUCUCUUGAUGAAGUCAGCUUUCAAUUUUAAUUAUGAUUGAUGAAUCAGAAAAUUGAAGAUAAUAAACAGGCAUAAGAGAAGACAAAAGUUUCAAGUUGGUUUCACUUGUUAACUUAACUGAAGCCAGUUUCUUUGUUGACGAAAACUGAAAUCAAGAAAAAAAGUCUGAGAUCAUAUGAAAAAGGAAGUCUUGUACGGAGGAUGGCUCAAAAUGAAAUUGAAGAUAUGUUAGAUCACCUGAGAAGGAUCAAGAGUGGAGGUAAUCUGGAUAGGGUCAAGAUUAAUCGAAUUGAGAAACUUGAAAUGGUGUUAAAGUAUCAUCAUGUUCUUUUGCCUGAUUCCUUCGUCAAACUCAAAAAGGACAAAUGGAUUGCGAAAAUGGUUCAGUGGGUAUUGGAUGGAAUUCCGGAUGAAUGUAAAACUAACCUUAAUUUAACAAGGUUAGAAUUACAUUUGUUGGAAUUCUUUGAAGGUAAAAUCAGUUUAAGUUACAACCAUGAGUUGAAUGAUUCUGAUCUGUCGAAAUAUAUGGAUUGUGUUGGAAAGAAUCUAAAUGAUGUACUGAUGAUUUUACUGCAAAGGGCUAGGUAUGACCCUCCAGAAGAAAGCCUUGAAAUGCACAGAUUUAUAAAGCAACUUAAAAUUGUUCAAAAGAAAAUGAGAUUUUUGAGAUACUUAUAUGUUACAGAGAUAAAUGGUUACGUCAACCAUGAGAAGUUGGAAUGUUUGGAGACUCGAAUGCAUUUCAUGGCUUACAACGUGGGACAACUUUGUCUUGCUAUUUUAGGUUACGAUGUUUCUAAUUUUGUAGAUGAUGUUGAUAAGGUUGAUGAUGAGGAGGAGGAGGAUGAGGAUGGGGAUGGGGAUGAGGAUGAUAUCUUGAAUAGACCUCCUUACUUAUUAUUCUUGAUUAUCUUAGUAGAGCUGGAAAUAAAGAAAUUUUUUCUCGGUGAACUAAAUGCUUCCAAGUUUACUCAAUCAAGAACUUUCAAGGACAAGAAAUUACCAAAAGGAUUUUCUCAUCAUCUCCAUAGUCUAUUGAUGUAUCUUAGAAACAAAAAGCUUGAGAAAUUUCCUAAUAAUAACUCUCCUCAAAAUAUUGAUAUAGCAAUAGAGUUCUUGUUGGUUUUCCUUGAUGCUGAUGUCGCAAAUCAUGUAAUUAAUGGUAACUGGUUGAAUGAAGUUAUGGAAAAGGUUGGAGCUAUAGCGGGUGAUGUUCUAUAUGUAAUUCAAAAGCUUCUUCCUAGCUCUAUAAAAAAAGAUGACAAUAGUAAAAUAAGUCUUUGCUCAAUACAGAUAUGGGAGAAAACUAAAGAUCUGAAGGCACAAGUGGAGACGUACUAUAAAUCCUUAAAAUUCACUCCAUCUCAAUUCCCCACUGUUGGUGGAUGGAGCUUUCUGGAUUCUCUUCUAAGGAAACUGAAGGAGAUGUCGAAAUCUAAAUCUUGUUUAGAUUUCCUGAUGAAACCUCUUUUGGGGAAUUUGGAGAAAGAGCUAUCAGCUCUUACAUCCAUUUUAGAGAAGGAUCUGUCAUCUUUAUCAUCCAUUUUACGAGAUGUCGCCAAGGUGCACCAUGAACAUGAAAUUCUUCAAGAUCUUCACAGGCGUACUAUCAAUUGGGCAUAUGAAGCGGAAGUUGCGAUUGACUCUAUUCUUGCUCAGUAUAAUGUCUUUUGGCAUAUUUUUUGCUCACUUCCAACAAUCUUAAAAGAAAUCAAGCAAAUUAAUGUGCAGGUGACUCAGAUGUGGUCAGCGGACAUUGCUCUUAAGCCUUGCUAUGUGGUAGCACCAUUUGAAUACUUUCCAACUCGACAUAUCAAUCCAGUGACUGAUGAGGAUAUAGUGGGUUUUGGGAAUGACAUAGAAAAAAUGUUUCAGUAUCUGAUUAGAGGUACAAAUGAGCUAGACGUCAUCCCAAUUGUAGGCAUGGGGGGACAAGGGAAAACGACAGUUGCUAGAAAGGUGUACAAUAGUGACAACAUUGUUUCUCAUUUUGAUGUUCGAGCAUGGUGCAUCGUUUCCCAAACAUAUAACCGGAGAAAGCUAUUACAAGAGAUUUUGAGUCAAGUUACCGGUUCCAAGGACAAGGGAUAUGAGGAUGAUAUCCUUGCUGAUGAGUUGAGGAAAAGCUUAAUGGGCAAGAGAUAUCUCAUUGUCUUGGAUGAUAUGUGGGAUUGUAUGGCAUGGGAUGACUUAAGGCUUUCCUUUCCAGAUUCCGGAAAUAGAAGCAGAAUAGUAGUAACAACUCGACUUGAGAAAGUGGGCGAACAAGUCAAUUGCCAUACUGAUCCUUAUUCUCUUCCAUUCCUCACAAAAGAAGAGAGUUGUGAAUUGUUGCAGAAAAAAGUUUUUCAAAAGGAAGAUUUCCCGCCUGAACUACAAGAUGUGAGUCAAGCAGUUGCAGAAAAAUGCAAAGGACUGCCCCUAGGGGUUGUCUUGGUAGCUGGAAUAAUCAAAAAAAGGAAAAUGGAAGAAUCUUGGUGGAAUGAGGUGAAAGAUGAUUUAUUUGACCACCUUGAUUGUGAGUCGGAAGAAUAUAGUCUUUCAACUAUGCAGUUGAGUUACUAUAACUUAACCGACUGUUUAAAGCCUUGUCUUCUUUAUAUGGGGAUGUUUCAGGAGGAUGCAAUAAUUCGAGUGUCUGAAUUGAUAAGUCUAUGGAUUGCGGAAGGAUUUGUGCAGAGCAUUGAAUCUGGGAGAUUGAUGGAAGAGGCAGCUGAAGGUUACUUGAUGGAUCUCAUUCAGAGUAACGUGGUAAUGGUUUCAAAUAGAAGGUAUAAUGGUAAGGUCAAAUACUGUCAGGUUCAUGAUUAGUGCUUCACUUUUGCUUGGAGAAGAGUCGAGAAGAAAAGCUUAUGUUGGCAGUGAAGGGUCAUCAUAGCCAGUUUCAACCUUUUGAAUGGAAGGAACGUCGAGUGAGCUUCUGUUUCACUGAAGAUCUUUCCAAGUUUGCAUCUGUAGGAUCCAAAACACGGAAGCCUUUCCACCAACACUUGCGGAGAACCUUAUGCCAUGCUCAUGAUCGUGCUCAAGUGUAUUCUGCGCCUAGAGCUGAAAUCCUUUUAGAUGGUCUUUUCUUGUUGCCUUUGUUAUUAUUUUACAACCUGUCAAUACAUUGCUUCUUCUUUGUUUUUUGUAAUAUAAUAGUUGUUUCCCUUCAUCUUACACCUGCAAAAUUCAAUAAAGUAUACAAUUGAAAGCUGGCUGAAUA